GGGGUAUAGCUUAGUGGUAAAGCAGAGGCCUUUUAAGCCUUUGACGGGGGUUCGAUUCCCUCUACCC
Molecule: transfer RNA, 67 nt
Filed under: marine eukaryotic metagenome
Rfam family: tRNA
About the family: Transfer RNA (tRNA) molecules are approximately 80 nucleotides in length. Their secondary structure includes four short double-helical elements and three loops (D, anti-codon, and T loops).
Source: RNAcentral